UGGAUCGGCCCACGGGUCGGAU
This 22-nucleotide small nuclear RNA is filed under the name Arabidopsis thaliana (thale cress). Its description in RNAcentral is "snRNA_16477". The record is from RNAcentral. Lineage: Eukaryota; Viridiplantae; Streptophyta; Magnoliopsida; Brassicales; Brassicaceae.